RNAcentral lists this ribosomal RNA (252 nucleotides) under uncultured bacterium. Its description in RNAcentral is "partial 16S ribosomal RNA". It matches the Rfam family "Bacterial small subunit ribosomal RNA", at positions 524 to 776 of the family's 1533-position model. The record is from RNAcentral.
UACGUAGGUGGCAAGCGUUAUCCGGAAUUAUUGGGCGUAAAGGGUGCGUAGGCGGAUUUUUAAGUCAGCGGUAAAAUGUCCGGGCUCAACCCGGGCCGGCCGUUGAAACUGGGGAUCUUGGGUGGGCGAGAAGUAUGCGGAAUGCGUGGUGUAGCGGUGAAAUGCAUAGAUAUCACGCAGAACUCCGAUUGCGAAGGCAGCAUACCGGCGCCCGACUGACGCUGAGGCACGAAAGCGUGGGGAUCGAACAGG